This 2889-nucleotide ribosomal RNA is filed under the name Shewanella putrefaciens. Its description in RNAcentral is "23S ribosomal RNA". Lineage: Bacteria; Pseudomonadati; Pseudomonadota; Gammaproteobacteria; Alteromonadales; Shewanellaceae. The record is from RNAcentral.
AAUACUGCCCACAGCAUUUAUGCCUUAGGGGUUGAGGGAUUAAAGGAAUAUAUCAAGACCAUUGGCCUUUAUAACAACAAAGCCGUUAAUGUGAUCAAAGCCUGCGAGAUCUUAAUCGAGAAGUACAAUGGUGAAGUGCCAGAAGAUAGAGAAGCCCUUGAAGCAUUACCUGGUGUGGGCCGGAAAACCGCGAACGUGGUGCUCAAUACCGCCUUUGGCUGGCCGACCAUUGCCGUAGAUACUCAUAUUUUUCGUCUUGCCAAUCGCACUAAAUUUGCCCCCGGUAAAAACGUGGUCGAAGUAGAAGAACGGAUGCUAAAAGUUGUGCCGGAUGAGUUUAAAGUGGAUGUACAUCAUUGGUUUAUUCUGCACGGCCGCUACACAUGCUUAGCACGAAAGCCACGCUGUGGCAGUUGCAUUAUUGAGGAUUUGUGUGAGUUUAAAGAGAAGGUUUAUCCCGAAGAAUAAACCUAUUGAACAGACAAUCCCAUUACACAUGGAAUUGUCUGUUUAAAAUGCUAAAUCAGCAACGCUUCCGGUAUUGGCCACUUUGCCACGAGCCACUCCCCUUGCCAUGUUUGAAUAGAGAUCCAUAAACUAUCACUCGAUGACAGUUUUGCCCCCGCAAUGGCAUGCACAUGUUGUCCAUAUUUACUGCCAUGGAGCACACCAUUUUCCCCUUGUUGUAGCUGGCUAAUUGGUAAUGCCUCAGGCCCAAUAUUGGCAUAACCUUGUCGAAUUAGCCCUGUCUCCCCUUUUUCAAAAAUCAACAUAAAAUCCUUCACAUAUUCAUCGUGAUGUUGAUAAGGAGCCUUCAUAUUCAAUGGCAUAGGCGCAAUUUUAAACUCACCUAAUUCCUGUGCCUGCCAUGCGGGAGGAAAGUUCGGUGUUAAUGAUUGGUACAAGAAUAAAAAUGGCAAGACUAAGAUCAAUCCAUUUAAUUUAUAUUUAUUCUUUUGCCAAAACAGUGCUCGAUUAAACGCCAUUAGCGAAUCUCCCCCAACAUAUCGGCAGCUAAGUCAUCAGAUCCUGCUUUUUUAAAGGCUCUGACAUGACGCAAUCCCCACAUCAUAAAGCCCGUAAUUGACAUACCCGACAAAAUUAAACCAAACACAAACCAAAUAAACUUGGUCCAAAUUCCCCCAAUCGUGCCAUAGUGCAGCGGAUCGGCAAUGUGCAUGAUGGUUUGCAUGCCCGUCAUGGUUUCGGGUGAUGAUGCUUUCGCUAUUUCCCCCGUCCAAGGAUUAAUACUCAGGCUAUAGGAAUGUUGGUCAUAAAAAAUAUGAUCACCACUACCACUAAGGUGAUACAUAUCCCGGUUAUGCUCUGGCAGCAUCACAUAACUAGGUUGAAAAUCAGGGAAACGCUCCUUUGCAAUCAUAAGAGCUUGAUUAAGUGAUACCGCAGGAAUGGGUAUAGUUGUCUCUCCCUCUUUAAGCAAGGGAACUUGCUCCGCCACAAUUAACGGCGCAUGAGGCUCGAUAUCAAUAUCAGCAUGCCAAAAAACAGCUUGGACUAAAUACCAUAAUCCUGUUGCACUCAUAAUGGCGAUAAACCAAAUUGACCAAACACCAGAUAAUUUGUGUAAAUCCGCUAGCAGUGUUUUUUUCCCUUGCGUAAUACGCACUUUAGGUGCCAAAAAACUACGCCAAAACCGCUUAUAAACAAUUAAUCCGGUAAUUAAAGACGCCAGCAUCAAUACCGCCAUAGAGCAGACAAGGUAAUACCCUACGCUAUAACUACCAGGCCAUGGAAAUAAUAACCAACCAUGUAAUGAACGCAUAAAACCAAUAAAAGUCAGCCCUUCGUUAAUUUGCUGAACGUCACCCGUGUAUUGAUUCACAUAAGCAAUUGCAUAGGGUUUAUCCACAUCGGUAAACAUCACUGCAUUGACAAGAUAAGGCUCGAAGGUCAUAGCCCCACUGAUUUCUGCUGUAGGAUGAGCCUUUUUUACCGCCGCCAUUAAUUCAUCAACCGACUUUGCUGGCAAAUUGUUUGGAUUAACGGCGCGGGAUGCAGGAUUAGUGAGCCACGUCAGUUCGUGGCUAAGUACUGCAAUCGUCCCCGUUAAACAGAUAAAACUAAAUAACAACCAGAUUGGGAGUGAUACCCAACCAUGCAACAUAAACCAAAAUCGGUUACUAACCUUCGCCAUAUGUGAUUAUCCCAACACUUUUACAAUUUGGUGAGUGUAAAUGUAAUACGAAUUGUUAUCAAUACGGUGUGUUGAUAAUUGUUUUCAAUUAGAAUGCAGCUCACAAAAAACAAUGAUGGGGAAUCAUGAUGCAAAAAUCGCUGUUAGCUACACUCAUUUCAAGUCUUUUAUUAGCGCCAAGCUCCUACGCUAAUGAGCCUCAGUCCACUACUGAUAUUGAAGUCAUCAGUAUUAAGGGAAGUCGUUUAGAUAAAGCCGCAACGGCAACUGGGUUGCCCUUAACGCUGCGAGAAACGCCACAAUCAGUCACCAUUAUUGAUCAAGAGUUUAUUCAAAGUUUCUCACUCAAUAGUGUCGCGGACUUAAUGUUUUUAACCCCUGGCAUUUAUGCUCAAAAAGCCGAGACCAACCGCUAUUUCUUUAGCUCCCGAGGUAAUCCCAUUACUAAUUUUCAGUUUGAUGGCGUCCCCGUUAACUACUCGAGUUUCUUUAAUGACGCCUCAACCGACACCAUAUUAUUUGACCGCGUUGAAGUUGUCCGCGGUGCAACAGGACUCUUAACGGGUGCGGGUGAACCAUCUGCAGCAAUUAACCUUAUCCGUAAACGUCCUAAAGCGGCACCUGGCGGCUAUGUCAGCGCAAAAGUCGGUGCAUGGGAUAGUUACCGUGUUGAAGGCGAUGCCUCCGUUGAUGUAACAGAGAGUGGUGAUGUGCAGGCACGCUUUGCCGCCGCC